RNAcentral lists this ribosomal RNA (422 nucleotides) under uncultured bacterium. Its description in RNAcentral is "partial 16S ribosomal RNA". It matches the Rfam family "Bacterial small subunit ribosomal RNA", at positions 359 to 773 of the family's 1533-position model. The record is from RNAcentral.
GAAUCUUGGACAAUGGGGGCAACCCUGAUCCCGCCAUCCCGCGUGUGCGAUGAAGGCCCUCGGGUUGUAAAGCACUUUUGGCAGGGAAGAAAAGGCUCUGGCUAAUACCUGGAGCUGCUGCCGUUACCUGCCGAAUAAGCACCGGCUACCUACGUUCCAGCAGCCGCGGUAACACGUAGGGUGCAAGCGUUAAUAGGAAUUACUGGGCGUAAAGCGGGAGCAGGCGGUUCGGCAAGAAGGAUGUGAAAUCCCAGGGCUUAACCUUGGAACUGCAUUCUUAACUGCCGGGCUAGAGUAAGUCAGAGGGGGGUAGAAUUCCGCGUGUAGCAGUGAAAUGCGUAGAGAUGCGGAGGAAUACCGAUGGCGAAGGCAGCCCCCUGGGAUAAUACUGACGCUCAUGCACGAAAGCGUGGGGAGCAAAC